RNAcentral lists this long non-coding RNA (953 nucleotides) under Malus domestica (apple). RNAcentral's name for it is "long non-coding RNA (MDOM_LNC002249)". Lineage: Eukaryota; Viridiplantae; Streptophyta; Magnoliopsida; Rosales; Rosaceae. The record is from RNAcentral.
GCUAAGGUGGGUGUCAUGAGGUGUGAUAGAGGCUAAAAGGGUGUAUGGGUUGCCCAAUAAGUGGUUCACGCGAUGGCAUGAUGGAAACUCAUAUGUCGAAGGUGUCAAGCCCUGAAGUGUGUAGGUCUUCCUGUCAACCGAGAAUACCAUGGUUUUUUGCUUGAAAUGCCAUCCAAUGAAUCCCAACGAUUCCAACCAUUAGGUGCCCAAAAUAAUAUCAUAAUCUGGCAUAUCUAAUAAGAGGAAAGACCCAUAUAGUGUGUAAUCUUGUAUGUGAAAUGGCACACCCGUGACACGUUUAGAGGCAUAACGGUCCUGCAAUGCCGUUGUGAAUUUGAUAAGCUCAAUAGGUUGCAUUGGUAGGUCUUCAAGGUUUACACAAAGCUAUGGAUCGCCAGACACUCCUCCCCCCGUUCUCUCAUGCAUCUCCAGCUCUGUCUCUUUCACUCUUAAGGUACCUGCCGAUGUUGUCGAUCGGCAGGUAAAGCUUCAGUUUCUAUAUUAACGUUCCAUUUUUUUUUCAUUUCUAGAAUUUGGGUUUAAAUUUCAGUAAUUUAUUUUUAUUAAAUUUGGUUGUGUGGCUAAUAAUUUUUGUUCUUAAUUUUACUAAGAUUUUGAGUUCCUUUUUUUCUUUACAAAUUUCAAUUAAAUUGCCUACAGUUGAAUUAUUUUAAAAUUCCCUGUAUAUUUAUUCUUUGUUUCCAAUAGCAGGUAAUCACAUAGUGUAUUUUCUGAAAUCUCUAAUUAAUUUUUGCAUAUUCUUCUUUUCUGGUGAGAAGGUUACGAAUAAGCUCCCACCCAAACUUGAGAGUGACCCAACCUGUUUGCUCUGUUUUUGGAUUAUGUUUUUAAAUUUUAUAUUUUUUUGCAGCUGCUUGAAAGAGGUUGUAUGCAAAUUUCUCUUCUGGGAGUUAUGUAGGAGUUGGGGAGGAAGAACAUAGUCUUCAGGCUAG